RNAcentral lists this small RNA (76 nucleotides) under Gynuella sunshinyii YC6258. Its description in RNAcentral is "isrK Hfq binding RNA". It matches the Rfam family "isrK Hfq binding RNA". Lineage: Bacteria; Pseudomonadati; Pseudomonadota; Gammaproteobacteria; Oceanospirillales; Saccharospirillaceae. The record is from Rfam by way of RNAcentral.
GCGCUGGCAAAAUCCAGCGCCGGGAUUCAGAACCCCGCAAGCUACAUAGAGGCAUUAGGCGCUUAGCGCCUGUUGU